AUGCAGGGUACAAAAGAGUGGAAUACGGCGCUAAUCAAACAGAUUUUUCACUCCUUCGACGCCGAAGAGAUAUGCAAAAUUAAAAUCCCGGAGUGUGAUGCACAGGACUGUGUGGCGUGGCAUUAUGAAAAGUCAGGAGCUUUCACUGUUAGGAGUGCUUAUAAACUCGCAGAUUCUUUGAAAAGAAAUUCCAAAGCAGCAGCAUCGAGUUCUUCCAAUGAAGUGGGAGACCGAAGCAUAUGGGAUUUGAUCUGGAAAGCAAGCAUCCCUGAGAAAAUAAAGAUUUUCGGAUGGCGGGUCGCUACCAACUCCUUAGCAACAAAACACAAUGUCUUCAGGCGUACUAUUGCUCUUGACAACACAUGUGAGAUCUGUGGAAAUGGGAGGGAGGAUGAGCACCACGCGGUGAUUGCCUGCACAAGGAGCAGGGCACUCAGACAGGCGCUGAGAGAAACAUGGGGUCUGCCGAAGGAAGAGAGCUUUAGUUACACGGGAGAGGACUGGUUACAGCUGCUGCUUGGAUCACAACCUGAGAACACCAGGAACAGAAUCAUGUUGCUACUCUGGCAAGCAUGGCAUCUCAGGAAUAAUGUGGUACAUGGUGAUGGAAGAGAUACUGUCCUGGGAUCAACGCGUUUCCUGCUGAGGUACGAGGAGGAGCUAGAAGAAGCUAUGCAAAUGCAGGGCUCGAGACUGAACAAGGGAACAGGAUGA
This 714-nucleotide ribosomal RNA is filed under the name Triticum aestivum (bread wheat). RNAcentral describes it as "partial small subunit ribosomal RNA". Lineage: Eukaryota; Viridiplantae; Streptophyta; Magnoliopsida; Poales; Poaceae. The record is from RNAcentral.